Molecule: ribosomal RNA, 199 nt
Filed under: uncultured bacterium
Lineage: Bacteria
Description: partial 16S ribosomal RNA
Rfam family: Bacterial small subunit ribosomal RNA
Source: RNAcentral
ACGCUCGACACCUACGGGGGGCAGCAGUCGGGAAUAUUGCGCAAUGGAGGAAACUCUGACGCAGUGACGCCGCGUGCAGGAAGAAGGUUUUCGGAUUGUAAACUGCUUUAGACAGGGAAGAAAAAAGACAGUACCUGUAGAAUAAGCUCCGGCUAACUACGUGCCGGCAGCCGCGGUAAUCUGAGCGGGCUGGCAAGGC